CGUGUAGGCGGCCAAUUAAGUCAGACGUGAAAACUCAGGGCUUAACCUUGGGACUGCGUUUGAAACUGAAUGGCUAGAGGAUCGGAGAGGGCAGUGGAAUUCCCAGUGUAGCGGUGAAAUGCGUAGAUAUUGGGAGGAACACCAGUGGCGAAGGCGACUGCCUGGACGACACCUGACGCUGAGGCGCGAAAGCUAGGGGAGCAAACG
This 207-nucleotide ribosomal RNA is filed under the name uncultured bacterium. RNAcentral's name for it is "partial 16S ribosomal RNA". It matches the Rfam family "Bacterial small subunit ribosomal RNA", at positions 568 to 774 of the family's 1533-position model. The record is from RNAcentral.